RNAcentral lists this transfer RNA (69 nucleotides) under Apis dorsata (giant honeybee). Its description in RNAcentral is "tRNA-Gly". The record is from RNAcentral. Lineage: Eukaryota; Metazoa; Arthropoda; Insecta; Hymenoptera; Apidae.
AUAUAUAUAGUAUAAUACAUUACAUUUAAUUUCCAAUUAAAAAAUUUAAAAAUUUAUUUAAUAUAUAUA